UUGCCCCGGGCAGCAUACGAACAGCUCCUUUUGAACUCCCCCAGGGCGGAAACGCAGCAAGGGUAGAAGGUUGAGCGUUCGGUAUGCUUGCCUUUUU
Non-coding RNA from Lewinella sp. 4G2, 97 nucleotides. It matches the Rfam family "Bacteroidales small SRP". Rfam says of the family: The non-coding component of the signal recognition particle in Bacteroides The record is from Rfam. Lineage: Bacteria; Pseudomonadati; Bacteroidota; Saprospiria; Saprospirales; Lewinellaceae.